UAAAUUUCCUUACCAACAUAACAUUAAAAUGGGUCUGAUCAUGUACCAAACGAAGAGGGCGCACUUAAAAAAGAUCCUGAAAAAAUAACUGUAAACAGAAAGCAAGUCAUUCUCUUUGAAAUUCUAUAAAAUAAUGGUUUACAAAAAUGUAACAUUAUGUAUAUGAUUGUGAUACAUCAUUACAUCAAGGAUGAAAUAAAAUUUAACAGAAAGCUCCACUGCCUGCAAAAUCCACACUUAACUUGCAAGUGUGUGUGUACAGUAAACCACUUUUAUCCAGAAAAAAGUUGCAUGGUGUAUUAUGGUUAUCCAGCAACCCCUCUUUACAAAUGAUUUCCACCAGCACGCCCAUUCCCCAACCCUCCAAGGAGAAAAUGAAAAAUGGAGAAGUCCCCCUAACAUAUGCGGUCUUGCCAUGGCUGUAAGCAAGCCCUUGCAUAUACUGACAAACUCAAAGAAUACAAGUCGGCAUUUCGCAGUUCUGAGUUACCCCGAGCAGCUUAAUGUUAGAGCAAAAUGGUGCUAAUCCUCUGUUGGCUGGAAUGAAGUUCUAUUAGUUUCAUUUUAAAAGGUUUAUGUUGUCGACAAAAAAGGCCUGCCUCGCUUCAUACUAUCUUCUCAUUGGAAAGCAGAAAGGUGUGUGAGUUGACUAAUCAUCAUCCUUAGUUAUGGACGAAAAUGAGAAAGGUCUGAACUUGUAGUCAUCACCAUGGUAGAACUUAUUUUGGAAUUCCACCCAAUGAAGACGCAAUGCGUGUAGGAAUGCACUAAGGGUCUCCAUCAUGAGUAGUACGAAGGCAGUGGCAAAGGCAAAAACUGCAAGCCCCACUAACCGGAUGAUGAUAUUAUCAUACCCCCAAGCAAGGAGGAGGACUUUCUCAUAGAAAACAGUAGACAACUCGGAAUGCGCCAAACUCAAAGCCCAAAGCCGAAGGUAUGAUGCCGUAUUUGAGACUGCACCUAGAACGAACUCUAUGGAGUGUAUCAUUUGGUGCACAAACACCUCACUGAAAUUAAAAUCAUCGUGAUGUGGUGGUGCAGAACCAGGUUCCAUAUCAAGAUCUAUCUCAGAGGUGCCAAGAAUCCCAUAGGUGCGACCUUGAAAUCUCUCCAUAUGACGCUUCUUCAAAAUAAAAGGUUUAGGGAGCAGCAUCCAAGGAACUGCAAUUAAUGCCAAAAGUAACAACAGGAUCUGCAGUGGUCUCUCGCCCCAAAACAACUGAUUCUCACCAAGAUCAUCAGUGGGACUUAAAAACAUGUAAAUCAUCACAUGAUAAAGGUCUGCCUGAGAACCAGAGCACCACUUGAUGACAAUGAGGAGCGAAAGGUACCCAAAAAGGCAGUUCAAGAAGAUUAUCUGCGGCACAAACUGAUACCUUAUAUCUAGCGAGUUGCCAAAAAAGCGUGCGUUGAAAUAACUUAAUAUGAUUCCUAGGUUCAUCUGGGCCACACCCAACAAUAUAGACAUCUUCAUCUUGAGGGAGUUCAAAAAUGGCAGUUCUGAACGACUUCCACGCCAACUGGGAUCCACACCAAAUGGGUAUGGAUCUCGGUAUUUCAUUAAACCAGCUAUGUGUGCAUCACUGCAAGUGGUGUCUCGGCAUUUGUAAGCAGACCCACCAAAUAUGUGAAAAGGAACAGAAAAGAAUUCAUUGUAAAUGAGCACACAGUAAAUUGAAAAAAGUGCCAUUAGAAGUAGUACAUAGCGCCCACCAAAAAGCAUCUCCAUAAAACUUCCAAGUUUCUGAUAGGAAUCACAUAUGCAAUUUUUAAGUACUUAAGGCUUGUGCCAAACAUAAAAAUCAGAAAGAAUAGUUUAUAAAAUUGUUACAAAAAUGACACUCUAGGACUUUAUCAAUUAGAUAAGACGGAAAAAAAAUGGCAAAAAAUAAAUAAUACGAGCACACAAGAUUUUGAUGUGGUUCAACUGCAAGGCUUAAGUCCAUAGGUAAAGAUGACAAAAAAAAAAUUCCACUAAGAAAAUAGGAGAUAUACAAAGGCAUUCAAAUUGCUCUCAACCCAAUUGACCAACUACACCCAAAACUUACUCCCACUAACUCUCACAAGUUUGAGUGUUUGUAUUUUUUUUCCUCAUCACUCUUGGCUAAUAAGCUCCACUCACUUUGCUGCUCUUCCCUUCAAAUGCCAUGAGUGAUGUGGCUAUUUAUAGCCAUGCAAUACCUGCCGCACAAGUUGAAUGAGUAGGCUCUCCACACCAAAUUAUUGGCCGUCAAGUAUACAACUUGGCCACUACUCCAAGUUUGGUGACCGAGCUUCUUCCUGUAACAAGCUUCCAAAUGUGGGUUGCACUUCUUUAAAAAUUUGGGCUAUUUUCUUCCAAAUUCAUGAGCGGGUUAUGGAUUUUAUUUCAAUGGUCCAUCAAUUCAAAACACAUUCAAACAAAUCUCUGCAUUGACUUGUGAAAAAAGAAGAAUACAGGAGAAGAUUGUAAGUGAAUUGUAGAGCUUAAUUAUUCCCUCAAGCUAAUUGGGAUUUAUAUAGCUUUAUAGAAGUUUACAAGAUAGGAAAAUACAGAUUUUUACAUAUCCUAGUAAUAAUCACAAGAUUGCAGCAGCUAAUUAGGAAGAUUAGGUGCAUGAGAUAAGGUAAGAAUCCUAACAAAUCAAGGCCAGUAUCUCAACAUAUCUCAACACUCCCCCUCAAACUGGAGCAUACAUAUCGUAUGCUCUAAGCUUGUUACAAAUGUAUUUGAUUUGAGCACCUUGAAGAGACUUAGUGAGAACAUAUGCUAACUGAUCAAUUGAGUUAACAAAAGUGGUAGCAAUACACCCCGAUUCAAUCUUUUAUUUAAUAAAGUGACAAUCCAAUCCUAUAUGUUUUGUUUUUUCAUGGAAAACUGGAUUUGGGCAGCUUGAUUGUCACAUAUUAAUCUCAUUUGCUUAACUUCUCCACAUCUUAGUACUUAAAGAAGUAGUUUUAACCAGAUAAGUUCACAAGUAGUUAAGGUCAUAGCUCGAUAUUCUGCUUCUGCACUUGACCUAGCAACCACAUCUUGCUUCUUACUUUUCCAAGAAAUCAAAUUACCUCCAAUCAUAAUGCAAUAUCCUGAAGUAGACCAUCUGUCUGAAGGAGAACCUGCCCAAUCUGCAUCUGAGUAACCAAUAAUCUGUGAAUGACCCCUGUCUUCAUAUAAUAGGCCUUGUCCUGGAGCUCCUUUAAUAUAUCUGAGUAUCCGAAUAACUGCAUCCCAAUGACUACUACAUGGUGCUUGAAGGAACUGACUGACCACACUUACAGCAAAUGAGAUGUCUGGGCGUGUGAUUGUAAGAUAAUUGAGUUUUCCAACCAAUCUCCGGUAUCUACCAGGAUCCUCCAAUGGCUCCCCCUGUCCAGGAACAAGUUUGACAUUUGGAUCCAUAGGAGUAUCUGCGUGUCUACAGUCUAACAUGCCCGUCUCUGUCAGUAUAUCCAAAGCAUAUUUCCUUUGACAAAUGGCAAUACUUGUCUUGGAUUGAGUUUUGAGAUCCCAACACUUCAAUCCCCAAGAAAUACUUUAGCUUCCCAAGAUCCUUAGUCUGAAAAUGACUGGACAAGUGUUGUUUGAGUUUUGAGAUCCCAACAUGAUCAUUUCCUGUAAUAACAAUGUCAUCAACAUAAACAACGAGAUAAAUGCACUUAUCAUGGCCAUUAUGGUGGAAAAAUACUGAAUGGUCAGCUUCACUCCGAGACAUUCCAAAUUGUUGGACUACAGUACUGAACCGUCCAAACCAUGCUCUCGGAGAUUGUUUCAAGCCAUAUAAAGAACGCCGUAGGCGACACACCAAACCAGACUCCCCCUGAGCAACAAACCCUGGUGGUUGCUCCAUAUAAACUUCCUCAGCUAGCUUGCCAUGUAAAAAGGCAUUUUUGAUAUCCAGUUGAUGAAGUGGCCAGUGAUGGAUGGCAGCUAAGGAAAUAAGAAGGCGAACCGAGGCAAUCUUAGCCACAGGAGAGAAGGUAUCACUGUAAUCGAGGCCAAAGAUCUGAGUAUAGCCCUUUGCAACAAGGCGAGCUUUAAGUCUAUCAAUCUGGCCAUCAGGCCCCACCUUGACUGUAUAAACCCAUCGACAGCCAACAGUAGAUUUGCCCUUCGGUAGUGGCACCAAAUCCCAAGUGCCAUUGUUAUGGAGAGCAGUCAUCUCUUCAACCAUUGCAUUACACCAUCCUGGAUGUUCCAAAGCUUCUCUAACAGUCUUAGGUACAGAUACAUUAGACAAAGUGGUGACAAAAGCAUAGUAGGAAGGAGACAAACGAUGAUAACUCACAAAAUUAUAAAUAGGAUGAGGAUUUCGAGACGAACGAAUACCUUUUCGGAUGGCAAUGGGAGGAGUAGCAUCGUCUGUUGAAGGCGAGACCGGAAUAGGUGAAGAUGAAGGAGGGCGAGAGUCACCAGGAGCCAGUGUUGUAUCUGUAUCAAGCAAAGGAGCAUCAAUGGUGUUAGUGGGAGGAUGAGGACGACGUGAGUAGACGUGUAGAGGUGGUGGACUGAUUGGUGGUGGAGGAAGAGUAGGAACUGGUAAGGCGGUGGGAAUAAAAACCUUGGAUGCGGUGUUGGAGGAAAAAUAGGGAGAUGUUUCAAAGAAGGUUACAUCAGCUGACACAAAGUAUUUAUUUGUAAGUGGAUUGUAGCAUUUGUAACCUUUUUGAAGUCUAGAAUAUCCCAAAAAGACACAUUUUAUUGAUUUGGGCUGAAGUUUGUCUUUGCCAGGAGUGUGAUCAUGAACAAAACAAAUACAACCAAAUACACGCAGGGACAACUGAUGGGCAUCUUGGUCGGGAAACAAAAUGGAAUGAGGACUCUGAUUCUGCAAAACAGAAGAAGGCAUUCGGUUAAUUAAGUAACAAGCAGUAAGAAUAGCAUCUCCCCAAAAACGAAGAGGAACAUUAUGGUGAAUGAGUAAAGUGCGGGCAGUCUCAACUAGAUGACGAUUCUUUCGUUCGGCAACCCCAUUUUGUUGAGGGGUAUAAGCACAUGAAGUUUGGUGAGUAAUACCCUGAGAAGAUAAGAAAUGAGUAAAGGGAGUAGACAAAUAUUCUUUUGCAUUGUCACUACGAAGUAUUUUAAUAGAAACACCAAAUUGAUUACGUAUUUCAGUAGAGAAUUUUUGAAAUAUAGAGAAUAAUUCAGAAUGAGUCUUCAUUAAAAAUAAUCAAGUGCAACGAGAAU
Molecule: unclassified non-coding RNA, 5167 nt
Filed under: Hevea brasiliensis (rubber tree)
Lineage: Eukaryota; Viridiplantae; Streptophyta; Magnoliopsida; Malpighiales; Euphorbiaceae
Source: RNAcentral